RNAcentral lists this unclassified non-coding RNA (376 nucleotides) under soil metagenome. RNAcentral's name for it is "partial contains 5.8S ribosomal RNA, internal transcribed spacer 2, and large subunit ribosomal RNA". The stretch from base 1 to 120 matches the Rfam family "5.8S ribosomal RNA", at positions 35 to 154 of the family's 154-position model. The record is from RNAcentral.
GAUGAAGAACGCAGCGAAAUGCGAUAAGUAAUGUGAAUUGCAGAAUUCAGUGAAUCAUCGAAUCUUUGAACGCAUCUUGCGCUCCUUGGUAUUCUGAGGAGCAUGCCUGUUUGAGUGUCAUUAAAUUCUCAACUACACUGACUUUGAAUUGGUGUGGCUUGGAUUUGGGGGGAAAAUUGUUGUGGGCUUUUUGUAUAGUCUGCUCCCCUGAAAUUGAUUAGCGGUACCUUUGUGGAACUGUCUACAGGUGUGAUAAUUAUCUACAUCUUAGACAUCUGCUGGAAUGCUGCUCUCUAAACCUUACUUGUAUUGACAAUCUUGACCUCAAAUCAGGUAGGACUACCCGCUGAACUUAAGCAUAACAAUAAGCGGAGGA